Molecule: ribosomal RNA, 253 nt
Filed under: uncultured bacterium
Lineage: Bacteria
Description: partial 16S ribosomal RNA
Rfam family: Bacterial small subunit ribosomal RNA
Source: RNAcentral
UACGUAGGGUGCAAGCGUUAAUCGGAAUUACUGGGCGUAAAGCGUGCGCAGGCGGCUUUGCAAGACAGAUGUGAAAUCCCCGGGCUUAACCUGGGAACUGCAUUUGUGACUGCAUGGCUGGAGUGCGGCAGAGGGGGAUGGAAUUCCGCGUGUAGCAGUGAAAUGCGUAGAUAUGCGGAGGAACACCGAUGGCGAAGGCAGUCUCCUGGCAAGUUUCUGACGCUCAGGUGCGAAAGCUAGGGGAGCGAACAGG